CCCGUAGGGUGCGAGCGUUGUCCGGAAUUAUUGGGCGUAAAGAGCUCGUAGGCGGUGUGUCGCGUCGGCCGUGAAAACCUGCAGCUUAACUGUGGGCUUGCGGUCGAUACGGGCAUCACUGGAGUUCGGCAGGGGAGACUGGAAUUCCUGGUGUAGCGGUGAGAUGCGCAGAUAUCAGGAGGAACACCGGUGGCGAAGGCGGGUCUCUGGGCCGAUACUGACGCUGAGGAGCGAAAGCGUGGGGAGCGAACAGG
This 254-nucleotide ribosomal RNA is filed under the name uncultured bacterium. RNAcentral describes it as "partial 16S ribosomal RNA". It matches the Rfam family "Bacterial small subunit ribosomal RNA", at positions 524 to 776 of the family's 1533-position model. The record is from RNAcentral.